UUUCGACUCGUGAUCUCGUUCGGCGAAACCCGAUCUACGUGGUUCAAAUACCUUCCAAAUUGGGGGCGAUUUAACAAUCGCGACCAAUUAAACCCAGGGAAGAAAAGAAAAGGGAAAAAAAAAAAAAAAAAAAAAGAAAAGGAGAAGCAAGCAGCAAAUCCCCUCCUUCCCUCUCUCUCCCCCGCCCGGGGCUCGCACACACUAUCUGUUGCUCUCUCCCGGCGGCAGCGGGCGGGGGCGUGCGGCGGGGCCGGGACGCUCUCACUCACACUCGCACUCGCACUCACCCGCACGCCCCUCGCACCAUUGUCCCUGCCCGCCCGCCCCGCUCGCUCUCCCUCGCUCUCGCUCGCUCGCUCGGGGUGUUUUGUUGGCGGCCCGGCGCGGGGCCCGGCGCGCCCGCCCGCGCCGCGGCGGAGCGGAGCGGCACAUUCAUUAGCGGCCGGGGGCCGAUUUCAAACCGCUGCCAUCGCGGCUCCAUUGUUCGCCGGGCGGGCGGGCCCCGCCCCCCUUUGUGCGCGGCGGCCGCGAUUGGCCGGCGCCGGGCGGAGCGCUGCCGUCACCGCUCGGGAAGCCCAUUCAUCUGUGCACUUGGGCGUUGGACUCCGCAUCUUAUUAGCAACCAGGGAGAUUUCUCCAUUUUCUCCUUGUCUACAUAUUUAUACCAACCCAACGCUCUUUGUUUCCCCUCCUUUUGGAUCUGUUGAGUUUCUUUGUUGAAUAAGACAGCAUGGGUGCCCAGUUCUCCAAGACCGCUGCAAAGGGCGAAGCCUCCGCCGAGAAACCUGGGGAAGCAGUGGCUGCAUCUCCAUCCAAGGCGAAUGGACAGGUAAAAAAUGAAAAGAAAUUUUAAAAAAUAUUAAAUCUGCUCCUUUUUUAAUGCCAACUUCGACGGACUCUCUUUCGCAUCCUGUUUAAUUCUUCUUCCUUUGAUGCCCCAGUGGCACAUUCAAUGGAGGAUACGGUCGAUCCUUUUAUCUUUGCAACUCGAGGCAAAGGGAUAAUUUCUUUAUUUUGGUUAAACGGGCUCGGCUUUGAAUGAUUCGUUCCUUUAUCCUUCCUGUGUGGGGGGCGGGGGGGGAAUGGGCACGGUUCUUUCUUUUUUUUAAAUCCCUCGUGUAUUAUGGUGGAGUGUCCCAAUGGCUCGUAAACGAAAGGAUCUUACACCGCUUGGCUUUUCUGCCCGCUUAACCUCCUCCCGAAGACACUCGGUGCUUCGCGCGGAACGCCUCUCUGGCACAGCCGGACGGCCGCGUAGUGGCGGGGCCGGAGCCGCCGGGCAGGGGGCUCCGCGGGCAGAGCCCCUCGGGCGGGAGCGCGG
Molecule: long non-coding RNA, 1321 nt
Filed under: Chloebia gouldiae (Gouldian finch)
Lineage: Eukaryota; Metazoa; Chordata; Aves; Passeriformes; Passeridae
Description: Erythrura gouldiae (Gouldian finch) lncRNA (ENSEGOG00005000586.1)
Source: RNAcentral